Molecule: long non-coding RNA, 610 nt
Organism: Lotus japonicus
Lineage: Eukaryota; Viridiplantae; Streptophyta; Magnoliopsida; Fabales; Fabaceae
Exons: 1
Source: RefSeq, a predicted model, not a curated record
AGCAAACGGAUUAAGAAACGGCGACUGAAUUUCCGUCGCCAGAAAGAAAAAGGCAACGCUCUCAUCCCAAUUCUCUUCCCUUUCUUCUUCAUUUCCUCUCUUCUCUCCACAAUUCACAGUGAAGAAAAAUCGCAAAUGGAAAACAACACCACCGACAACAGCAACAGCAACAACAGCAACUGUGGUGGCUCCAUCAUGUCCUGCGACAAGCUCGACCGAAUGGCCAACUGGGUCGGCGCCAACAUGGCUUCUGCUUUCUUCGCUUCCUUGGAGCGUUGCUCUUGCAUCAAUCUCAGCACCACCGACAACGAAGACGACAACAACAACACCACCAACAGUGAUGAUCGUGCUCUCAUGCUCACCAACCCUGUUUCCUCCUCUGCUGCCCCCACCACCACCGCCACCGCCACCGCCAAGGCUCAAUCUUGAUUAGCGUUUGAACUGUUCUUGUUAUUGGGUAUGUGAAAUUCUUGUAAAAAAGGAGUCUUUUUGCUUUUGGAAUUCAUGGGUCGAGUUCAAUUUCAUGUGAUCUGAUGAUUGAACCUUUGUAGGGUUUAACUCUAUCUCUCUGUUUUUCUGUUGUUUAUAAAUUAUAAUAAUUUUCGGUUAA